ACGUGUGGGCCUUUCUUUCUUAUUUCCUGAUAACCCCCUGCAGAAAUAGACAAACACCAAAACUCGUGGAAUUCUGUGAGAUAAAACCCUAAGUCUUGAUGUUGAUUUCAUUUGGAUCCUUUUCUUUGUUUAUUUGAUAGUUAAAUUUGAUACUUAAGGACCGUCAACAAACUCCCCCAAGCUUACCUCUUGCUCGUCCCUGAGCAAGGAUAGACUCAGCAAUGGAUCAGAAGUUGUUGCAGUAUCUUAAAAAUUUAACGGUACACAUGCUUUUUAAAUAAGUUCUCAUCUCUGAGUUAGAGUAAACUGUCAAGAACUAAAACUUACUUACUUUACCUUUCGCCAUGGGACUUGUAACCGUCACUUCUGUCUUGAGUGGUUAAAAGAUAGAACAGUCUAGCCAAGUGCCAUGUCUCUUAUUCUUGAUCAGCUAUAGCUCUGGAGUUUUUGCAAAUUUUCAAAUAAAACUCAGAGAUUCCUUGUAUGACUCUCUAAAUCUCUCUUUUGUGGUAUUUCUGGAUCCUUACCAAGGCAGUGAUGGUAUAUGCCUUCUCUCAAAAUAUGUGGUAUUUGUUGUAUAAGGCAUAGUGACAUUGCCUUCUCUCUCACCCUACUCUAAUAAGGCUUUAAUAUCUGGAGCUCAUAGGUGGGAGAUAAAAUAUACAUACUUACAAGACAUUUAUUGUAUAGUCAAACCAUGGAUCCAAAGAAACAAAUCAAUAAGCCAAAUCAAGAUGUGCAUGUGUGGCGAAUGAAUAGUGUAUGGUGAUGAUGGUGAUAACAAUGGUGAAAGUCUAAUUCUACUUUUGCUCUUUUGAGGGGAUACAUACCUUCCUUGCUUUUUGAAACUUUAUGAGGAGAAUGAGAUGCUCUUCUUUUUCUUUCCUCUCAGGUGGGUAUCUUGUACCCCUAAUUCUACUGUCGGACACUUGUCCAUUUUUACCUCUCGUCUCACUUUUUCUUUCUUUCGAGGUUCCGGGCACUUGCCCCUUUUUAUUUCCUCGUUUAUUAUUAUUUUUUUUUCUUUUCUUCUCUUUUCUUUUUUUUCAGAGCACUCAUCUCCUGAAAUAAUGUAGCAAGUGGUAGUAACCAAAAUAAUUGGAGUAUUUAUUUCACAGGGAAUAACAGGGAUAGGAAAAUAUUUUUGGCUAUUCUCUCCCGGAUUAGGAGUAGAAUGAUUUUGGGUGAAACUGGAGAUGGAAAUGGAUGGAUAUAUGUGGAUGGUACUUCCGUAGUAGAAGUAGCAUAUAUGAGUGAACGUGCAAGUGAAUCUUGAUUUAACCACAUGACAAGCUCCUAAGGGUCUACACAGCUUGACCACACUCAAUGCUUAUAAGCAGUGAAUAAUAAAUGUGUGGCUCAAAGUCUAGCAAGCAUGUAUAUAUGGCUGUGGUAGGAAUUUAAACUCUCAUCAUACAGGAACUCAUCAUGCAACAUUUUAAAGAUUUUCAAAGAUAAAAUUCUCCAGAAUUCUAGCAUCUCUAGGAACAGAUAAACAGCAGCUCAACCUUCCCAUAUCUUAUCCGUUAACAACUUAGAUUUCAGAUCAAGUUUUCAUCCCACAAGUUUAGAUCUAGAGCAAGCUUUAAAUUAUAACAGUUAUGUCUAAACUUGAGAGAGAACUUUAAAUUUGCAAUUUAGGCAGAGCAACUAUUCAUCAUAUCCAUGCUAGAGUUUUAUUAUUAAGAUUCAUAGCAAACUUUAUUUAUUUAUUUAUUUAUUUAUUUAGCAAACU
This 1735-nucleotide long non-coding RNA is filed under the name Sorghum bicolor (sorghum). Its description in RNAcentral is "long non-coding RNA (SBIC_LNC012998)". The record is from RNAcentral. Lineage: Eukaryota; Viridiplantae; Streptophyta; Magnoliopsida; Poales; Poaceae.